RNAcentral lists this RNase P RNA (349 nucleotides) under Actinomycetes bacterium. Its description in RNAcentral is "RNase P RNA component class A". It matches the Rfam family "Bacterial RNase P class A". From Rfam's summary of the family: Ribonuclease P (RNase P) is a ubiquitous endoribonuclease, found in archaea, bacteria and eukarya as well as chloroplasts and mitochondria. Its best characterised activity is the generation of mature 5'-ends of tRNAs by cleaving the 5'-leader elements of precursor-tRNAs. Lineage: Bacteria; Bacillati; Actinomycetota; Actinomycetes. The record is from RNAcentral.
UGAGUCGGACGAGGUGGCCGCGGGCGUUCCUCAGGGAAGGCUCGAGGAAGGUCGGGACUCCAAAGGGCAGGGUGCUGGCGUGAAGCCAGGCGCCGCGAGGCGACGGAGAGUGCAACAGAGAGCAGACCGCCGAUGGACCGGGAAACCGGUCACAGGUAAGGGUGAAACGGUGCGGUAAGAGCGCACCAGCGUCCCGGGCGACCGGGCGGCUCGGUAAACCCCACCCGGAGCAAGGUCGAGCAGAGAUCAGGUGGCCCGCCCCACGAUCUCGGGUAGACCGCAUAGAUGGAUGGCCACCCAGGCGGCUUCGGCCGCUGGACAGAAUCCCGCCUACUGGCCGACUCACCGU